AUUCCCCCAGUAGCGGCGAGCGAACGGGGAGCAGCCCGGAGUCUGAAUCAGCUUGUGUGUUAGUGGAACGGUCUGGAAAGUCCGACGGUACAGGGUGAUAGUCCCGUACACGAAAAUGCACAUGCUGUGAACUCGAAGAGUAGGGCGGGACACGUGGUAUCCUGUCUGAAUAUGGGGGGACCAUCCUCCAAGGCUAAAUACUCCUGACUGACCGAUAGUGAACCAGUACCGUGAGGGAAAGGCGAAAAGAACCCCGGCGAGGGGAGUGAAAAAGAACCUGAAACCGUGUACGUACAAGCAGUGGGAGCCUCUUUAUGGGGUGACUGCGUACCUUUUGUAUAAUGGGUCAGCGACUUAUAUUCUGUAGCAAGGUUAACCGUAUAGGGGAGCCGAAGGGAAACCGAGUCUUAACUGGGCGUUAAGUUGCAGGGUAUAGACCCGAAACCCGGUGAUCUAGCCAUGGGCAGGUUGAAGGUUGGGUAACACUAACUGGAGGACCGAACCGACUAAUGUUGAAAAAUUAGCGGAUGACCUGUGGCUGGGGGUGAAAGGCCAAUCAAACCGGGAGAUAGCUGGUUCUCCCCGAAAGCUAUUUAGGUAGCGCCUCGUGAACUCAUCUUCGGGGGUAGAGCACUGUUUCGGCUAGGGGGCCAUCCCGGCUUACCAACCCGAUGCAAACUACGAAUACCGAAGAAUGUUAUCACGGGAGACACACGGCGGGUGCUAACGUCCGUCGUGAAGAGGGAAACAACCCAGACCGCCAGCUAAGGUCCCAAAGUCAUGGUUAAGUGGGAAACGAUGUGGGAAGGCACAGACAGCCAGGAUGUUGGCUUAGAAGCAGCCAUCAUUUAAAGAAAGCGUAAUAGCUCACUGGUCGAGUCGGCCUGCGCGGAAGAUGUAACGGGGCUAAACCAUGCACCGAAGCUGCGGCAGCGACACUAUGUGUUGUUGGGUAGGGGAGCGUUCUGUAAGCCGUUGAAGGUGUGCUGUGAGGCAUGCUGGAGGUAUCAGAAGUGCGAAUGCUGACAUAAGUAACGAUAAAGCGGGUGAAAAGCCCGCUCGCCGGAAGACCAAGGGUUCCUGUCCAACGUUAAUCGGGGCAGGGUGAGUCGACCCCUAAGGCGAGGCCGAAAGGCGUAGUCGAUGGGAAACAGGUUAAUAUUCCUGUACUUGGUGUUACUGCGAAGGGGGGACGGAGAAGGCUAUGUCAGCCGGGCGACGGUUGUCCCGGUUUAAGCAUGUAGGCGGAGGUUCCAGGUAAAUCCGGUACCUUAUUAACGCUGAGGUGUGAUGACGAGGCACUACGGUGCUGAAGUGAUAAAUGCCCUGCUUCCAGGAAAAGCCUCUAAGCAUCAGGUAACACGAAAUCGUACCCCAAACCGACACAGGUGGUCAGGUAGAGAAUACCAAGGCGCUUGAGAGAACUCGGGUGAAGGAACUAGGCAAAAUGGUGCCGUAAC
RNAcentral lists this ribosomal RNA (1460 nucleotides) under Enterobacter hormaechei. Its description in RNAcentral is "partial 23S ribosomal RNA". It matches the Rfam family "Bacterial large subunit ribosomal RNA", at positions 234 to 1734 of the family's 2925-position model. The record is from RNAcentral. Lineage: Bacteria; Pseudomonadati; Pseudomonadota; Gammaproteobacteria; Enterobacterales; Enterobacteriaceae.